UGAGGGAAAGUUGCAAAGAACUUUGAAGAGAGAGUUCAAGAGUACGUGAAACUGCUCAGAGGGAAACGGGUGGGCCCUCGAAAUCCUUCUUGCGGAGGGAUUCAGUCUGGAGUUCCGCGGGGCGAUCGCGGUUACCGUACCCGUCGAAAGGACGGUGCCGCGACGCGGUUCCGCGGGCGCCAGACGCACUUCCUCCCGCACUCAGGACGCCGCAACCGAUCGGGUAGCAGCGAGAGUCGGCCUUGCGGCGGUUCCAGGCAGGUGACCGGGUUCGGGACUUCGCGUCCAGUUCUCCGGUUUUUUUAACGGAACCGCACGUGGCGCGACACCCGAUCGAGGUCGAAGUUCUCCUUACGGGGAACCCGCCGUCUCCUUCCCUAGCAGACGCGGGGCCCGGGUCAGCGAGCACCGGUGCGACGGUAUCCGCUCCCAGUAGCGGUCCGUUCGCCGGAGAGCCGAUGUUGGAUCCGGGCCGACCGCCGGGGGUCGAGUCAGCCGGUUGGCGGCGAGUAGGUCGGUCACCCACCCGACCCGUCUUGAAACACGGACCAAGGAGUCUAACAUGUGCGCGAGUCGCAGGGUCUUGAACAGGCCCUCGGGCGCAAUGAAAGUGAAUGUCCGUUCUUCGGACAGAGUUGGGACUCUCGUUCCUUGCGGGGACGGGAAGCACCAACGACCCGUUCCGAUCGACUCGUCGGCGGGACGGAGUAAGAGCGUACACGUUGGGACCCGAAAGAUGGUGAACUAUGCCUGGGCAGAACGAAGCCAGAGGAAACUCUGGUGGAGGUUCGUAGCGGUUCUGACGUGCAAAUCGAUCGUCAGACCCRGG
RNAcentral lists this ribosomal RNA (829 nucleotides) under Psilochorus concolor. RNAcentral's name for it is "partial 28S ribosomal RNA". The record is from RNAcentral. Lineage: Eukaryota; Metazoa; Arthropoda; Arachnida; Araneae; Pholcidae.